This 171-nucleotide long non-coding RNA is filed under the name Urocitellus parryii (Arctic ground squirrel). RNAcentral's name for it is "lncRNA (ENSUPAG00010002492.1)". Lineage: Eukaryota; Metazoa; Chordata; Mammalia; Rodentia; Sciuridae. The record is from RNAcentral.
CCCCCACGCCCCGGCUCCCAUCUCGGCUGCCGGGAACCGGGAAAGCUUGCUCUGGAGCCCCUCGCACGUGGCAGGCAGGCCGAGAACUCGUAGUGCCUUCUAGGAAAUUGCAAUCGGUUUUGUAAUGCACUUUUGCUAAUUGGGAGUUCAAAAUUAAACUUUAAUAAAGCA